This 7641-nucleotide long non-coding RNA is filed under the name Zea mays. RNAcentral's name for it is "long non-coding RNA (ZMAY_LNC004288)". Lineage: Eukaryota; Viridiplantae; Streptophyta; Magnoliopsida; Poales; Poaceae. The record is from RNAcentral.
AGCACGCUAGCGCAGGGAGCUCGGCUCUUUCUCGCCAUGGCGCUCGGCACCCAUCCGGCAGGGCGCCCUUCUUCCCCAUGGAAACCGGCUCCCUCUCCAUGCUCCCUCCCUAGCCGAGCACCUCCAGCAGCCAUGGCCGAGCUUCCUUUCCCCCUGGUCGGCCUCCUCUGCACAGCAGCUCCUUCUCUCCGUUUCCUGUACGUGCGCAGGGGCAAAACUCCAUGGCACCGGCGAAGCUCUAGCUCCAAGCUCCCUGCACCCUCCUCCCCACGUGCAGCACCUCGCUCCCUGUCGGCAGCACGCACACUCAACUCUGGCUUCUCCCCCUGCUUCACCAUGUCGUGCGUCCUGCUCCAUACGUGAUGGUUGGAUGAAGAUGGCCAACAAGUGACUAUGUCAAGUGGGCCCUAGUAGCUAGGGUGAGUGUGCACAAAUUACAACUUUUUGUGUUGUGUUCUAAAAUUCAUAUCUCGAGUUUUAGAGGUCCUAAAAUUGUGAAAUUUGUUUUGUUGGCUACCUUAUGAAAUGUUCUAACUAUUGGAUCUAUAGGUUGGCAUGUUUUAGUGGAAAAGUUUUUCUGUAGAAAUUCGUAUUUAAAAACUGGUUUAGAAAACAAAUGAACUUGCUUCUGUCCAUAGUUUUAAUUAUAAAAAUCCAAAAAUGAUGAAACUUGUUUUGUUGGUUAGAUGUUGUCAUACUCUAGCUAAGAAAAAUAUAAAACACAUAUGGUGUUCACUGUUUUCUUGGUGUGUUAAUUAAAACAUGUUAAAUAGGAAAAAGAUGAUUGUUUUGAUUGUUAUUUUUGGAUCUGUAGCUCUAGUGCUCCAAAUAGAUUGAAAUUUUUACAGUAGACUCUUGGUGUGAUGUUUGGUGACUGGUAAACAUUUCAGGAAUUGUUGUGCAUGUAUGAUUAAGUUAGUGGUUUAACUUAUUUAAUGCACCUUAACUAGUUUUAAAUGAUUUACAAAUAAUGUAUAUAUGCAAAAAUGUAAAAUGGUGUUCCCAUGUCCUUGUGUGAUAUUAUAGUAGCCUAAGAAAACUUAAUAUGGUCAUGCAUCCACAGAAAAUAAUUAGUUUUAGAUUUAACUUGCUCUCACAUGCUUUAUUGCAUUAACAAUUUGUUAUUUUUGUAGUAAAUGCAAUAUAAAAUCUGAGCAUGUGAAAUUUAUACAUUAUUUAUAAUGGGUCAUUACCUAUGCCUCAUAAAAAUUACAGCCCCAAAUUAGAUAGUUUCAUUUGGUGCUAAAAUAACACCUAUUUUAUAAUUAUAAGAACAAUUAGUGAAAAAUUAGAAGUAAACAAGGGCAUGCAUGUUUCUUGAAAUACUUAAGUGAAUUGAUAUAAAUUGAAACUUGAUAACUAAGUCAUAAUGAUUUAAACUUGAGAAAUUGGUGGUAGUGUCUCUCCAUGAUUUUAAUUGAUGAUUGAGUUGAGUGCUAUUGUGCUAGCAAACUGAAAUUCCUGCAUGUACAGUUUUUUGUUGUGCGGUUAAUCUAGUAAAGUAAAGUGUGUUUUAUGUACAUAUGUUCUAUAUAAAAGUUGUAAUUAACUUGUAUAUCUAGCUCUUCUAAAAAUUUAAUGAGCUAAGGAUUAAUGGUUUAGAAGUUAUACUUUUCACAAUUUCAGUACCUGAAUCUGUCCAAUUUCUGAACAGAUUUCAGAAAUUGUAAUGGUUGCUUAAGUUAAUGUUGAAAUAAGUUAUUGGUGGUCAUAAGAAAGUUAUAGAUAACUAUAUUAUCUAACUUGUGUUAAAAUUUGACAGCGAUAGGUCUGACAGUUUAGGAGUUAUGCUUUUUACAAAGUCAGUAACUGAAUCUGUCCACUUUCUGUACAGAUUUCAGAAACUGCAUUGUUUGCUUAAGUUAAUGUUACAAUCUGUUCAUGGUCAUUAUAAGAAAGUUGUAGAUGCUUUUCUGAUCUUGCUUGUGUUAAAAUUUCAUAACCACAGGCCCGAUAAUUUAAGAGUUAUGAAUUCUACAAACUGCUUGCUGUGUUCUGUCCACCGUCAGAACAGAUUUCGAAAACUGUGUUGUUUGAUUUAGUUAAACCUGGAAUCAAUUCUUGGUGAUUAUAAAAGUUAUGUAGUGCUUUUGCUGAGCUUUCCAAAAUGUCUUGGAUCACUCUUUUUGGUGGUCUGAAGAUUAAGUUACAUGUGUUUGAAGUGUGAAGACUGAAUCUGUCCAGUUUUGGACAGCACAGCCUUCAUAGUAUAUUUUAACCUUGAUACAUGCUAAACCAGCCAAGGAUGUUUAUAAAUAAUUUGUAGAACAUUUAAUUACCUUUCCAGAAAGUCUAGGAUCACCUUGUUUGGAUGUCUGGAUCUUCAGUUGUGAAUUUUUGAAGUUGCAAGCCUGAAUCUGUCCAAAUCUGGACAGAGCUGCUGUGUUUGCACAAUUCGACCUUGCUAAGUGUUGAAUCAUGUUGUGAUGAAAAUAUCAAAAUUGUAGAGCACUUUCUAAACUUUCCAGAAAGUCAUAGUUUACUAUUUUUGGCUUAAUAUUUGAAAAGUUAUGAUUAAAACAAGUAACUACGGUGCUGCUGUCCUAAAUGUGUUAGAAGUGAUUGAUUGCUCUACUCUAUUGUGUUUGACUUGAGUGAUUGCUUGCUUGUUUUGGUUUUAAGUGAAUAUGAGUAACAAUGAUAGUAACUAAUAUAAUCAGGUUAUAUAUAAGUAAAUAGUACACAUCUCACUAAGUUAGUGAACUAAAUUGGUUAAGGUCUAAUACGUAGCUUAGCUUAAUCAACAGUUAGCAAGUGCAGUAAUAUAUUAGGAAAACAAAAUGAAUAAUGUCCUGUCCUUGGCUUUCUGCUAAUACUACUAAGUAACCAACGUCAUUAAAGUAGUAUAACAUGUAAUGACGAUUAAACUAUCUCCUCAUGUGUGUUCUCUUUGGUGUGUGCUUGCAUGUGAAUAUUGUGAAUGAUUGUAAAACCCCGAUUAAAUGAAUAUCCCUUUCUGUCUAAGUCUGUCCAAAUAUAUAAGUCAUAGAAAACUUAUGUGUACUUAACUAGUAUAAUAAUAAAAAAACUAAUGGAAAAUUAGAGCGAAUGCGAUAAAUGCUUGCACGUGUGAUGUCGUGUUGCGUUGGUUAACUCUAGAAGGUAAUUGUCGUCUUUGUAAUGGUAUUGAUUACGUAUGCCCGAUGACGUGUAGAUAACUAAUGCUAGUGUGUGGCUGUUUACGGUGUCUUACGAUUUAAUGUUUAGUUCGCUAUCGUCUAUUUUGGGAUUGUCUUGUGAUAUAUUUCAUUAUAUUCAUACAUGUGCAUCCUGCAUCUCAUAUAGGACCGAGAGAUGAUGAUCGAGCAACUGAUGUGGUGCCAACCACAAGACACAGUUGGUGGACGACCUGAGGAAUGGACUUAACCAGUGGAUGCUCGCCAAGCGAGUGCCACCCAGCAAACACUAUCCAAGUGUUAAAUUAAAGGCAAGCCCCGGUUUUAUGCAUAACCGUUUAUAUAUGCUAUUUUACUACACUUAAUGAUUGUAGGCUUGUACUGUGCACUUAAGUGUAGGAGUUGUCUGAAAACCCUAGUUGCAUGAACUCAGGAUUCCUUUUGAGAUGGAUACUAGUAUGCUAGGUCGAGUAGCUGCUUUACUAAUUAGGGAUCUCGGUAGAAGUCGAGUGAUUUUUCUAGCACUCGCGCGAGGUCAGGAAUUGGUUGUAUCCACUUUGAUAACAGAAUGGUGAUGGUCUGUGGACACGAGUCCAUGGGGACGCGUGGUCUACGAGAUGAAAAUUGGAAUAAGGAUUAACGUGCGGAUACCUGUGUCAAGCGUUUGAACAUACUAAACACAUGCCGAGAAAUAUGGUAAAUCGGUAAGCCUAGUACCUGAGUGAACCUGCCCGCAGACUUUACCCCUCACGCGACCUGAGACGUGGUCUCCCAUUCCGGUUAUGGUGGGUACAAGUGCGGUCACUGCACGACGGCAGUCGGGGUCAGUGAGGCAUUGUACGCCAAGGCGGUGAGCCCUGAUCUGUUGCCAGGGAAUCGAUGGGGACGGUUGAUGUGUGUGGGGACGGAGUGCCCCUACAUGUCGUGUGUUUAGGUUUACCUUGCAAGGAUAAAAACUCGAUUCGAAUCGUCUGCUUCUCGCAGCUAAUGAGACUGCUUGAUCCAUUGUACUGCAUUGAGUAAUAAGUGGAAAUGAGUUGACGGGCAAAAGAUGUUGAUUUGUAAAAAUGUUUGAUACCAUGUAUGACUAGUUUGGUACACAUCUAGUAAAAAGGAGCAUACUAAAACUUGAAAAAGCUAAAACAUGAUUUUAGACUCAGCUAGUGCUUUUGGCAAACCAAACCCCUCAGCCAAACAGCUGCAUGUCUAGAGGUAGAGGAGUAGACUCCUCACACCGGGUAAGUCUAGCUGAGUAUUAGUAUACUCAGCCUUGCUUGUGGCACAAUUUUUGCAGGUACUCCUUAGGAUGAUUGGUUGAUGGUGUGACUUGGCCUCCAUCCCUGCCACCGGGAUAGACGGUCGAGUGGGUUAUUGCUUCCGCGAGAGAGGACCAGGAGGAGUAGCGUGGCCAGGCUUCGCCAUGUUACUCGGUUCUUCUCCGUUAGUUAUUCCGCUGCAAUAAAAUUUAUGGUUAUUAUUUCUGAAACUCCGAUAAUGUAAUCACUAUUGAUACUUAUUAAAUUGUGGUAUUAUGCUUUAUUGUAUUUCUCUGUGCCUCACCUUCGAGUGAGCUAGUGGUAUUCGAUCCUGGUUAAGUGGCUUUAUCGGACUAGAUCCGAGGGACUGACGGGUUAUUCCUAUUUAAGUGUGGUCUAGCCUCUAAGGCGGGACUUAGGCACUUAAGUUGGAAUAAUUCGGGUGGUUCCGCCACAGCUGGUAUCGGAGCGAAUACCAUCACAGAGAAGUCAAUAAGUCAUGAUUACCAACCUUUUCUAGAGUAAAACUUGCUAGAAAUCAAAGUUGGAUAGAUCGUCAGGACGAUCAGGAUAGACCUAGGACGUGAAGCCUUAGGACAUAGAUGGGUAGCUAGGUGGCUAUUUAUAAAGGCCAUAAAGGCUACUACUACUACUAAUAAGGAUGUUGUAGAAGCAUCCGAUAAAGUAGUUAGGUCUGAGAAGACGACUAGAAUGAGCAUGCAUCAUGAUUGUCGCAUCAUUGUCUCUUGUGCAUUAACAUGCUUCUCUCACCUUCAUUCCAAUAAUAAGAAAUUGUGAAUAAUGUGCUGUAUUGCUAGGAACUGCAAAAGAAGUCUUAUCCUGUGUGUCAACAUAGUCUUGACUAGGUUGUGUUAUGUGCUUCUCUUGUCUGGCAAAAAAAAAUGUUUUAAUUGUUCAACCCUUUUUACAAAAAAAUGUUGUCUGCUCUUCUCAUGAAAAGACCCCACUCCAAACAACCUUGAGUUUAGCAAGUGAAACCUUCUUAAAAAAAUCCUACUUGUGUUGGUAUUUUCUAGCCCCCUUCAGUGUUUUACCUUUGAAGUUACACCUGCACAGCUUAUAGACCCCCACAGCUUGACCGCUAGACCAACCCAAGUCUCCUUGUGUACUUGUGUCAAAAAAAUAAAUUUUAUUAUUGGUGUCUAGUUGCGCAAACCCUAUCAAGGCCAUGUUUCUUUCCAUAAAUCCUUGCCCCUAAAACUUCAUAGCAUUUCUGUUGAUCAUCCUAGCUGAUCUUGCUUGAUGACGUCUCUUUUUACCCAGAUCUAGUAAUCUUUUCCUUUGUGACUCAUGUUGUGGCCUUGUCAUCCAAAUCUCUAGAUCAUCCAAUGAAUCUGCCCUAUUAUCUGGUUAUCUCCUAUAACCCGUUCUCAAGCAUCGGAUGUUGAUCUGCCUAAAUCUCUCAUUUCUGAUCAUUCUCAUACUCCUUCUCCGAGGAUCAUGACGAUAUUUUAUCUAAGCAGUGUAUCCCUUUGGUUCGAUGGAUUAUGUUGUUGUCUUUAGUUCUCUCACGUCUCAGCAAGUUGCCAAUCUUGAUCUCAUGGUUGGUUCCUUCUCAUAUCAAAUCUCAUAAUAAUCUCUGGCCUGAUAAUCUCCGUGUUGAUCAUAAAAUAGUUCUCUGAGUCGAAGAAAAUUCUUAGGUGAUGCUCUUUUGACAGCAGUCUCUGCUUCAACUCUACCACAUUCUUAUUUUCUGAGCCAUACUCUCAUGGGCUCCAUCUAUCUGUGCUAUGUAAAUUUCUUAUUGGUUGCGUUUGGUAAUGACGUCAUGACUAACGACUGAUGGUGCCGCGACGAAACCGAGAGCCUACUAUGGUGCACACAUGGUUGAGCUGCUCGGCACACGCUGGUAUUGCGGUUAAUAGUCGUGAUCCAUUACGAGACUAUACUGAUGUGCUACCUUUUGUGAACAUUCUCUCAGAAUGAUCGCUGCAUUUUGUCUCAACAUGUCGCGAUAUUCUAUCCAAAUCUAUCUUCCGUAUCUUGUCAGAUCCCAUCUCAUGAAUUUGCAUCUAUCUUCAGCCCGGGAGUUACAUGCUUCUCCGCCCUUAAAGAUACUCAUUCGAAUCUCGGGACGAGAUUCUGUUUAAGGGGGGAAGGCUGUGACACCCCAGGUGUCAAUUUCGCAUUAUGUCGGAAGAAUUAUCCUAAUCUCGGAUGCUCAGUGAAAAUUUCUAUUUCUCGAUCGUGUCUAUCUUUGUCUAUCAGGCUUUCUCAUGGAAGUUCAUCGAAUUCAGAGUUAAUCGAUCGCGAGAAACAACCAAGUUUGGAGCGUGUUAAAACUUUUAAUUCUUGGCAUGGAUGCAAAACUCGAUACUCAAUCUCGAUUUAUAAAUCUCGUCUAAAGCUCAUUUAAUCAAACGCUCGACAGCUGCUAGUCGAGCUGUGUCCGACUCCGAUUUCUCGAUGUUCGAUCUAUGUCCAAAAAUUAAUCCGACUCCGUACUCUCAAACGGAAUGCUCAAUAUGUCGUCCUCUGAUUAAUUCUCACUCGACUCAGCCAAAUAUCUCAUGUCCGAACCGAAUUCAAAAUCUCGUAUCGACAACGAUUUUAAAAUGCCACGAUUCACCUUUUCCGACUAAAAAUCCGAAAGCCGAUCAAAUCUCAGGACGGUUUAUUUUCGAUUUACGCGUAGGGAAUUAUCUUCAAGCGAAAUCUAAUUAGACUCUCGGCCGAAUUAAUUGCUCAAUCGUCCGUUCGCCGAAAUCAAUUUCGCUCUGUUCUGUGUACAGACAAAUUCCGCGGGAACAUUUAUUCCGGAAAAAUAAUUUAGCGCGACCCGAGUACGUGUUUUGGGCCAAGCCCAUUCCAGCCCGGCCCAUUUGGCCCACUAAGGAAAACCCUAACCCUAGUGUCCCUCUAUAAAUAGCAGUCCUCUCCUAGCAAGUGGAGGCAUUUUUGCGCUCCCACCCCUCAUUUUCUCCCAGCCGCCACAACAAUUCUUCCUCCCUGUUCACAACAGCAGCACGCUAGCGCAGGGAGCUCGGCUCUUUCUCACCAUGGCGCUCGGCACCCAUCCGGCAGGGCGCCCUUCUUCCCCAUGGAAACCGGCUCCCUCUCCAUGCUCCCUCCCUAGCCGAGCACCUCCAGCAGCCAUGGCCGAGCUUCCUUUCCCCCUGGUCGGCCUCCUCUGCACAGCAGCUCCUUCUCUCCGUUUCCUGUACGUGCGCAGGGGCAAAACUCCAUGGCACCGGCGAAGCUCCAGCUCCAAGCUCCCUGCACCCUCCUCCCCACGUGCAGCACCUCGC